Zonotrichia albicollis (white-throated sparrow) is the source of this 2840-nucleotide non-coding RNA. NCBI's taxonomy places the organism in Eukaryota, Metazoa, Chordata, Aves, Passeriformes, Passerellidae. The record is from RefSeq and is a predicted model, not a curated record.
UGUCCACUGCUGUGCCUCAGCUUGCUAACCCUUUCAUGCCACCAUUUCACACACAGCAUCUUUUCAGGCAAGAACAGCAAAAUGCCAGAGACAAAAUCUGCUAAAGAGUGCAGGAAAAGACAUCACCUUUAUGGAAUUGAAGCCUAAGGGCAUGGGGAGCUUAUUUUUAAAUCGUCUAGUCCAUAGAAAUUUGUCAGUAACAUCCAGUCGGAACAAUGUGAGAGAAGCUGAAGCCUGGCUGACCUGCAUUGGAAGAAGCAGUCCCUAAAGGAGACUUGCUCACUGGACAGAGAAAGAUGCAAAAGCUGAACCAUUCUCAGAGAAAAAAGAAUGAUGAGUGCAUGAUAGAGACACCUGGACACAUUAUUCAUUUUAAAAGGGUGCAAAACCGAAGGAAAGACAUUUGAUAUCAAAAGAGGACAAAGAAGAUUCAACAGAGCCUCAGUAAAACAAGAUGGAGUUGGCUAAGGAGGAACAUCAAGCAGGACCACAGAGGCUUUUGGCUUCCUGAAGAGAAUCUCUUGGGUCAUUUCCUUUUUCAUAGAUUUGAGCUAGGACGAAAACCCAAAACACUUCUUGAGAUUUUUCGUUGUUUAUACAUAACAUGCAAACCACUGCACAACUGAAGACAGUGCCUCCUCAGGCUUGCCAUUUAGACCUUCUGGUUUGUAUUUGUGUCCAGUUGAUAUUUGUGAGAAUUUCUUGCAAACACAGGAUGAGUCAAUGAGCAGGGAAACUUUUUGUUUCACUUCGCGGUCAGUUUUCCAGGGAGUUAAAAUGUGCAGAAUUCAUUGUGAGGCCAUGGCAAUUUAAGAGCAGAGUGUGGUAGGAGGCUCCUUAGGGCCCAAAGUCGGCCAAAGGCGCCCAGAGAAAUGAAAAACAAACAGAAAACCCCAAACCAAACCCAAAAGAUAUUAGAAUGAUGGAACCACAGUGUUGGUUGGAAGGGACCUGUAGAGGUUGUUUUGUCCCAAUCCCUGCUCCAAGCAGAAUUAUUGCCAGCACUAGAUCAGGUCAACCAGGGCUUUGUCUGGCUCUGAGAAUGGAGAUUUCACAGGGCCCCAGUGUAACCUGUUCCAUGGCAGCACCGCCCUUUCAGCAAGGAGAAUUUUCCUAAUGCGCAUUUUGAACCUUCCAAGCUGGAAUUUUUAUUUUUCUGCUUCUUGUUUCAUAUUCUGCCACUGCCAAAAAGAGUUUGACUUUUUCAUUUUUGUAGCUGCCUUUAAAUACACCAGUGACUGCUAUUAACCACUGUUAAGCAUUCUUCUCUGCCACCCUAGAGAUGUGUGGUUCUGUCACCCUCCAUUUCUGUGUCAGGUGUUCCUGUUAUAGCAAAGCUGCCUCACAAACCCUGGAUUAUUGUCUCCACUGUUAAGUGAAGAAGAUGUACAGUCAAGUAAGAGUUUUCCAGCCAUACUGACCUUUUGAAAUGUUUGGAAACCAAAAUAAGUUGCCAAGGAUCUGAGCAGAACAAUCAAGGUCUAACUUCAGACAAUCCUGUAGACUAACAACAUGUAUUAAGCUUAUACAGUGAGCUGCAAAAACUCUAUUAGACCAGGAAGGGAAAAUCACAUAUAUGUUUGGACAAUGUACUGAUUAUGAGAUUCCCAAGUGCAAUACAUAAAUAAAUGCCUCUCUUCCUCUUUUCUUGCAACACUGACACGCUUUUACAUGUAAAAUGCUAUGCAAAAUAUUUUCUCACAAUUUUUCGCCACUAUCAAAAGAUUCUUAUAAUAUUUUAUCAGGUUAUUCUACUUUGCACACUUGCUUUGGUUUUUGAUAAACAUGGUUUCUGAUCACAAGGAGGAAAUGUUUAGACUCAUGUCUAGGCAAUUUCAGCUGGAAAGGACCUGCAAUGAUCAUCUAGUCCAACUUCGUGACAGAUUCAGGGUUUACCAAAAGUUCAAACAUCUUAUUAAGGACACUGUACAAAUGUCUCUUAAACACCAACAGACCUGGGGCAUUGACCUCUCUAGAAAUCCAUUACAGAGUUUGACCACCCUCUCAGUAAGCAGAGGUUUCCUGAUUCCCAGUCUCAGGUGCAUCUCCUCAGGUGCAUCUUUGAACUAUCUUAUCCCUGGUUCCUCUGGAGAAGAGCUGAGAGCUUCCCUCUCCACUUCCUCUCCCCAGAAAAUAAUGAAAUUUUAUUUUUUUAUCCCUUUUAUCCAAACUAUAGAAGCUCAAAAUCCUUAGCUGCUCUUCAUGGGACAUUUUGUGCAGCCCUUUCACCAGCUUUGUUGUCCUCUGAAUGCAUUUUCAGAAUCACUGGAAAGCACUUUAAAGAUCAUCUGGUCCAACAUUUCUUGACAAAGGCCAAGAUGGUGCAGUCCACUGUCCAGUCAAAUGUUAAAAUUCUCUUAUGUUGGGGAAUCCAUUCUGGGAAGACUAUUUCAAUGGCUGAUUGCUCUCAUUGUGAAAAAAUUUCCUCUUUUUCCAAUCAGAAUCUCUUCAAGAGUUACUUGUACCAUUACCCCACACCAUUUCCAUGCAACUCCUCAUUAAAAAGGAAUCUCCCUCUUCCUUGUAGCCACCCUUUGAAUACAGGAACAUGAUGAUAAGGUCUCCCCUAAGCCUUCUUUUCUCAAGGCUGAAAAAAACCAGCUCUCUCAGCCUUCCCUCAUGCGGCAGGAAAGGACUUGAACAUUCUCCUUGAAUUGUGGAGCCCAGAACAGAACACAGCUCAUGAGGUGAGGCUGCACCAACACUGAACACAGGGGGACAAUCCCCUCUUUUGACCAGCUGGUUUGAUGCCACCUGGAAUGGGGUUUGCUCUGCUGGCUCUCACUGAGGCUGCUGAGCAGCACCCCCAGAUCCCUUUCAUCAUCAUCAUCAUCAUCAUC